GUCGUACAGGUCUCCGUAGGUGAACCUGCGGAGGAAUCAUUACACAAAUAUGAAGGCGGGCUGGAACCUCUCGGGGUUACAGCCUUGCUGAAUUAUUCACCCUUGUCUUUUGCGUACUUCUUGUUUCCUUGGUGGGUUCGCCCACCACUAGGACAAACAUAAACCUUUUGUAAUUGCAAUCAGCGUCAGUAACAAAUUAAUAAUUACAACUUUCAACAACGGAUCUCUUGGUUCUGGCAUCGAUGAAGAACGCAGCGAAAUGCGAUAAGUAGUGUGAAUUGCAGAAUUCAGUGAAUCAUCGAAUCUUUGAACGCACAUUGCGCCCUUUGGUAUUCCAAAGGGCAUGCCUGUUCGAGCGUCAUUUGUACCCUCAAGCUUUGCUUGGUGUUGGGCGUCUUGUCUCUAGCUUUGCUGGAGACUCGCCUUAAAGUAAUUGGCAGCCGGCCUACUGGUUUCGGAGCGCAGCACAAGUCGCACUCUCUAUCAGCAAAGGUCUAGCAUCCAUUAAGCCUUUUUUUCAACUUUUGACCUCGGAUCAGGUAGGGAUACCCGCUGAACUUAAGCAUAUC
Molecule: ribosomal RNA, 569 nt
Filed under: uncultured fungus
Lineage: Eukaryota; Fungi
Description: eukaryotic LSU rRNA
Rfam family: 5.8S ribosomal RNA (bases 208-361)
Source: RNAcentral